RNAcentral lists this ribosomal RNA (274 nucleotides) under uncultured bacterium. RNAcentral describes it as "partial 16S ribosomal RNA". It matches the Rfam family "Bacterial small subunit ribosomal RNA", at positions 523 to 796 of the family's 1533-position model. The record is from RNAcentral.
AUACGGAGGGUGCAAGCGUUGUUCGGAAUCACUGGGCGUAAAGGGCGCGCAGGCGGUUUGUUAAGUCAGAUGUGAAAGCCCACGGCUCAACCGUGGAAGUGCAUUUGAAACUGGCAGACUUGAGUACCGGAGGGGGAAGUGGAAUUCCCGGUGUAGAGGUGAAAUUCGUAGAUAUCGGGAGGAAUACCGGUGGCGAAGGCGACUUCCUGGCUGGAUACUGACGCUGAGGCGCGAAAGCGUGGGGAGCAAACAGAAUUAGAAACCCUUGUAGUCC